This 313-nucleotide unclassified non-coding RNA is filed under the name Borreliella valaisiana. RNAcentral describes it as "partial contains 5S-23S ribosomal RNA intergenic spacer and 23S ribosomal RNA". The stretch from base 208 to 313 matches the Rfam family "Bacterial large subunit ribosomal RNA", at positions 1 to 106 of the family's 2925-position model. Lineage: Bacteria; Pseudomonadati; Spirochaetota; Spirochaetia; Spirochaetales; Borreliaceae. The record is from RNAcentral.
GGGGGGAGUAGGUUAUUGCCAGGGUUUUUAUUUUGUACUUUAAACCCAAAAAUUAUUUUUUAUAUUUUUUUAAUGUUCAUGUUUUUGAAUGUUUUAUUCAAAAAAAGUAAAAAAAAAAAAAGAUAUUGACCCGGAUUGAACAAAAGAUAUAUAUUAUUUUAUGUUGCAUAAACAAAUAGGCAAAAUAGAGAUGGAAGAUAAAAAUAUGGUCAAAGUAAUAAGAGUCUAUGGUGAAUGCCUAGGAGCUUUAAGGCGAAGAAGGUCGUGGUAAGCUGCGAAAAGCUUGGGGGAGAAGCCAACCUUUUUUUAACCC